Molecule: long non-coding RNA, 1707 nt
Filed under: Sus scrofa (pig)
Lineage: Eukaryota; Metazoa; Chordata; Mammalia; Artiodactyla; Suidae
Description: lncRNA (ENSSSCG00000049122.2)
Source: RNAcentral
GCCCUUCUCUGUCGUGCCCGCGUGGGCGCGCCAGUGGCGGAACUUGGGCUUGAUUAAGGCGAUCCCUACGAGUGGAGGAGCAAGCCAUUAUAGAAGCAACGUGUAUCCCAAGCAUCAAGACUGGCACCUCCAAGCUCCUUCCCCCUGGAACUUUACUCAACAUUUCAGCAUCAGGCCAUUAUAGCUUUGAAUUGUGCCUUUGAGCAUCUCUGUUUUUGCAUCCAUUAACAAGAUGUGUCCUAAGAAAUCAUUUAUGAUGGCGAGAACCCUGCUGGCCAUCUUAUAUGCCCCUAAGGACGGCAUAGAAGGAGCUGACUGCUGAUGGCUUGAAGACAAAUUGGAGAUGGCAGAAAAAAGACUCAGUGGCCUUGAAGGAAGCCAUGUGGAAUUGCCACAGAAGCCAAGGAGUUGAAAGGCAUUCCAGGCUGCUGCAGCUACUCAAAGAAGUCAUCAAGGACCCGUGUUCCUCCUAGUGCCCCAGUUCUCCAUCCUUAGGAUGUUUCUUCCAUCUUCAUGGUGACAAGAUGGCUUCUCCACCAUCAAGCACUGUGUCCAUGAGUCAGGCAGAAAGAAGAGGGGCAAGGCAAUGGGCUUGUUCCCAGAAGCCCCACCAAGCCACUGUCUAUAGGAUUGAGAAUCAGCCAGAACUAUAUUAUAUGGUACCGUGAAUGAAAAAUGUUGCCUGCCAUAUCAGUAAAUAAAGGAUGUUGCAGCCACUGAGGUAUGACAGCCACCUCUACUGGCACACUCUGAGGGAACUCAGGAUUGGAAAGAGCAGGAAACUGGCCCUAGACAGCUAAGGUGCGUAUCAAAGGCAUGAUUUCAAUGAGCCCAGACUCUUGCAUCGUCCCACACAUAGAAAAGUGCUAAAGUCAUAAUUUUCUUUGAUUAACAGUAAUCUUUUGAAGUUCCAACUAUACCUGGUCUUUGUUGCAGAAACUCCUAUAUAUUCUGGCUCCUCCUUUACCUCUUCAGAACAAUCCCUCAGAGCAACCUGAGAGGCGGCAUUCUGGACUUAUGUCUUCAGUUUUGUCUAUCAAAUAAAAUAUAAUUCUUGACUUUCAGGUGUGCAAUUUUUUGGCCAUGCCCACAGCAUGUGAAGUUCCCCAGCCAGAGAUCAAAUCUGCACCACAGUUGUGGCAAUCCCGGCUCUACCACUUGGGAACUUCCUAGAUGUAUUUUUUCGGUCAACAGAGCCCACAAGAGAGGCUGAAAGUUCAAUGUUAUAAGUGGGUUCUUUGUGCUUGGAAUAGAUUCUGUGAGUAAAGAUAAGAGAGAGAAUAGCUAUUCUAGACUUGCCAGGUCUGCAACACUGGCAUAGUAUGUACCUUGAAAAUGCUAAUUAUAAACCUGAUUUUUUUCUCUUUUUUUGCAACUCUGAAAUUUCUUAGGAGGAUUUAGAGUGGAAGCUCAUAGAAAACAUUAAUUCUCUGUGGAGAAAUAUUAAAGACUACCACUUCAAAAAGUAUUGGACUAUACCUUGCAGACUCUCUUAAAUAUUGUUAAUAAAGGACAGAGAAUAAUGCUGCCAGAAGGACUCUGGGAAUUUAAUACAACUUUAAGUAAAGCAACAAAACAACAAACAGAAAUGUGUAUGAUUUGCAUUCUCUCCACAACUCUUUAUUUGUGAAAUGUAUUAAACUGAAUCAAAACACAUGACAUAGAAAUUUGACUUUCAUCCAGAAUAAAACUGCUGAUAGAUUCUCC